This 111-nucleotide transfer RNA is filed under the name Candidatus Cloacimonadota bacterium. RNAcentral's name for it is "tRNA-OTHER". The record is from RNAcentral. Lineage: Bacteria; Pseudomonadati; Candidatus Cloacimonadota.
GGCCAAUUGGUGUCCUACACUACUUUGUGAAGAGAGCCUCGGUUAACAUACUUCUCAAUGUGAAGACAGGUGCGAGAAGGGAGGCGGGUUCGAAUCCCGUAUUGGCCACCA